CAAUAGCGUAUAUUAAAGUUGUUGCAGUUAAAAAGCUCGUAGUUGGAUUUCGGGGUGGCCUGCCUGGUCCACCGCAAGGUGAGUACUGGUCAGCCGCCCUUCCUCUCGAAAGCCCCGACUGCUCUUCAUUGCAGUGGUCGGGUAGUUCGGGACGUUUACUUUGAAAAAAUUAGAGUGUUCAAGGCAGGCUAUCGCCUGAAUACAUUAGCAUGGAAUAAUGGAAGAGGACCUCGGUCCUAUUUUGUUGGUUUCUAGGGCCGAAGUAAUGAUUAAGAGGGACAGUUGGGGGCAUUCGUAUUUAAUUGUCAGAGGUGAAAUUCUUGGAUUUAUGAAAGACGAACUAGUGCGAAAGCAUUUGCCAAGGAUGUUUUCAUUGA
RNAcentral lists this ribosomal RNA (377 nucleotides) under uncultured eukaryote. Its description in RNAcentral is "partial 18S ribosomal RNA". It matches the Rfam family "Eukaryotic small subunit ribosomal RNA", at positions 592 to 976 of the family's 1831-position model. The record is from RNAcentral.